Molecule: long non-coding RNA, 1371 nt
Organism: Erinaceus europaeus (western European hedgehog)
Lineage: Eukaryota; Metazoa; Chordata; Mammalia; Eulipotyphla; Erinaceidae
Exons: 2
Source: RefSeq, a predicted model, not a curated record
GCUGGCUUUGGCACUGGGUAUGGAGUUGCCCUCGCAGAGGUGCCGCGUCUCGCUGCCAGCUCACCUUCACUAAGAACUGGGCACUCGCCCGCGCGCCUGCCCCAACUCCCAAGUCGCCCUCUGGACCUAGUUCUCAGGCGCAGGUCCCCAGAGCUGUGCAGUGGGCUGGCCACCUCCUCCUCAGGACUGCUGCCUGAGAGCUGGGGCUGGAGGACCCCAGCCGCCUCUGUAGCCCGCAGCUCCCCGGGCUCUGCGGCUGCUGGGCUGCGCUAGGGCCCGCUCCUGCCCGCCCCCAGCUCCUGCCUCCCGCUCGCUGCGCUGCGCUGCGCUGGCUGCGCUGUGCGCCCGCGCGUCCCCGCCGGCUGGGGCAGCCGCGCUCACACUCACUCUCAGGGCGCCUCCAAGCUGCUCCAUGGAGACCUGGAUCCAAACCCCAAAGCAGAAGAGACUCCAAAGUCCGGGGAGGAAAGGCGAGCCCGGAGGCUGACAGGCGACCGGGCGCGGGGCGACCAGAAUUGGCUGUGUGUGCGGGAAGAGCUGGGUCACGCGAGGUCGCGGCUGGAGGGGGCUGAGGCCCGGGCCGGCGCGCUCCGGGCCGCGCUGGCUGGGCCGGGGGCAGCUCGCAGGGGCUGCAGGCUGCACCGAGGCGCCCUGGGCCCGCUGGGGGACAGAGACAAGCGGGCGGCCAAACCUGCCGGGGAAACUAAAUAAAUAAAAGGGGACUGUUAUUUAAGGCGCGGAAAUUUGAAAUAUUUGGACAGGAAGAGAAAAAGAAAAGAAACUCUAGCGAGGGAAGAAAAACACAGACAAGGCGAACUAACGGUUUUGAAACUCCGCCACCCCCACCCCGGGCUUUUCUGCGCGCACUGAGGGAGCUCGGUGCUCGGACUUCCUCACUGGGAAGCCGGGAGCUGCAGUGGGAGGCUGGAGGGCUUCAAUGGGACAGAAGGGGUGUCGUUACAUUCCCUCCGGAGAGAGCUUGGGUUGGCAGGGGACAGGGCUUUGGCCAGGGUCUCAGAAUGGUUGUCUCCUGCCGUCUCACUUGCUACCUACGAAUAUCUGGUUUUUGAAACUGCAGUGCAAAAUCAAAACAGUCCCGAGAGGCCAAGGGAGGGACUUUCCCCCUUAACCUUUUGAUGAAGGUUGCUUAGGGUAGUCAGAAAUGCUGCGAGUGUGACCCUUUCUCGCUAGAGCGAGCUCCAACAUCCACCAGCGCUUCUGCAUUACAGCUUCUGCACCCCUCACCCGCCCACUACUCCGACCCGGCAACAGCCGAAAGCACCUUUUUGGAAACAGAUUUCGAAACCAGUUCUGGGACAGGCACUCCACACGUUCGUUAUAUCAGCACAAUAAAGGAAAUCUAUAAUGUUA